UAUAAGCUUUUAUACGGCUAAACUGCGAAUGGCUCAUUAAAACAGUUAUAGUUUAUUUGAUGGUCUUUACUACAUGGAUAACCGUGGUAAUUCUAUGGCUAAUACAUGCGCACAUGCCUCUUCCUCUGGAAGGGCAGUGUUUAUUAGAUACAGAACCAACCCACCUUCCGGUGGUCCUCAGGUGAUUCAUAGUAACCGAACGGAUCGCGUUGACUUCGGUCUGCGACGGAUCGUUCAAGUUUCUGACCUAUCAGCUUUCGACGGUACUGUAUUGGACUACCGUGGCAGUG
RNAcentral lists this ribosomal RNA (290 nucleotides) under Toxoplasma gondii. RNAcentral describes it as "partial small subunit ribosomal RNA". It matches the Rfam family "Eukaryotic small subunit ribosomal RNA", at positions 64 to 354 of the family's 1831-position model. Lineage: Eukaryota; Apicomplexa; Conoidasida; Eucoccidiorida; Sarcocystidae. The record is from RNAcentral. RNAcentral also lists the same sequence under 1 other name.